GGGGCGGUAGUUUAGUUGGGAAAACGCGGCGUUCGCAACGCCGAGAGCGCGGGUUCGACUCCCGCUCGCUCCACCA
This 76-nucleotide transfer RNA is filed under the name Candidatus Omnitrophota bacterium. Its description in RNAcentral is "Candidatus Omnitrophica bacterium tRNA-Ala". It matches the Rfam family "tRNA". Rfam says of the family: Transfer RNA (tRNA) molecules are approximately 80 nucleotides in length. The record is from RNAcentral. Lineage: Bacteria; Pseudomonadati; Candidatus Omnitrophota.